UAACACGUAGGGGGCGAGCGUUGCUCGGAUUUACUGGGCGUAAAGGGGGCGUAGGCGGUUCUACAAGUCGGCGGUGAAAUCCUUCUGCUUAACGGAAGAAUUGCCUCCGAAACUGCAGGGCUUGAGGGCAGGAGAGGGAGGCGGAAUUCCUGGUGUAGCGGUGAAAUGCGUAGAUCUCGGGAGGAACACCAGAGGCGAAGGCGGCUUCCUGGACUGUCCCUGACGCUGAGGCCCGAAAGCCAGGGGAGCAAACGGGAUUAGAUACCCCGGUAGUCCUGGCCCUAAACGAUGGGCACCAGACAUUGGGAGGUUUUAUCCUUCUGUGUCGUAGCUAACGCGUUAAGUGCCCCGCCUGGGGAGUACGGUCGCAAGGCUG
Molecule: ribosomal RNA, 376 nt
Filed under: uncultured bacterium
Lineage: Bacteria
Description: bacterial SSU rRNA
Rfam family: Bacterial small subunit ribosomal RNA
Source: RNAcentral